RNAcentral lists this ribosomal RNA (459 nucleotides) under uncultured bacterium. RNAcentral describes it as "partial 16S ribosomal RNA". It matches the Rfam family "Bacterial small subunit ribosomal RNA", at positions 338 to 795 of the family's 1533-position model. The record is from RNAcentral.
CCUACGGGAGGCUGCAGUGAGGAAUAUUGGUCAAUGGACGAGAGUCUGAACCAGCCAAGUAGCGUGAAGGAUGACUGCCCUAUGGGUUGUAAACUUCUUUUAUAAAGGAAUAAAACGAGGCACGUGUGCCUUUUUGCAUGUACUUUAUGAAUAAGGAUCGGCUAACUCCGUGCCAGCAGCCGCGGUAAUACGGAGGAUGCGAGCGUUAUCCGGAUGUAUUGGGUUGAAAGGGUGUGUAGGCGGGCUGUUAAGUCAGCGGUAAAAUGUCGGGGCUCAACCCCGGCCUGCCGUUGAAACUGGCGGCCUGGAGUGGGCGAGAAGUAUGCGGAAUGCGUGGUGUAGCGGUGAAAUGCAUAGAUAUCACGAAGAACUCCGAUUGCGAAGGCAGCAUACCGGCGCCCGACUGACGCUGAGGCACGAAAGCGUGGGUAUCGAACAGGAUUAGAUACCCUGGUAGUC